This 497-nucleotide ribosomal RNA is filed under the name uncultured bacterium. Its description in RNAcentral is "partial 16S ribosomal RNA". It matches the Rfam family "Bacterial small subunit ribosomal RNA", at positions 28 to 507 of the family's 1533-position model. The record is from RNAcentral.
GACGAACGCUGGCGGCGUGCCUAAUACAUGCAAGUUGAGCGCUGAAGGUUGGUACUUGUACCAACUGGAUGAGCAGCGAACGGGUGAGUAACGCGUGGGGAAUCUGCCUUUGAGCGGGGGACAACAUUUGGAAACGAAUGCUAAUACCGCAUAAAAACUUUAAACACAAGUUUUAAGUUUGAAAGAUGCAAUUGCAUCACUCAAAGAUGAUCCCGCGUUGUAUUAGCUAGUUGGUGAGGUAAAGGCUCACCAAGGCGAUGAUACAUAGCCGGCCUGAGAGGGUGGUCGGCCACAUUGGGACUGAGACACGGCCCAAACUCCUACGGGAGGCAGCAGUAGGGAAUCUUCGGCAAUGGACGAAAGUCUGACCGAGCAACGCCGCGUGAGUGAAGAAGGUUUUCGGAUCGUAAAACUCUGUUGGUAGAGAAGAACGUUGGUGAGAGUGGAAAGCUCAUCAAGUGACGGUAACUACCCAGAAAGGGACGGCUAACUACGUG